UACGUAGGGGGCAAGCGUUGUCCGGAUUUAUUGGGCGUAAAGAGCUCGUAGGCGGCUUGUCGCGUCGACUGUGAAAACCCGCGGCUCAACCGUGUGGCGGGCAGUUGAUACGGGCAGGCUAGAGUUCGGUAGGGGAGACUGGAAUUCCUGGUGUAGCGGUGAAAUGCGUAGAUAUCUGGAGGAACACCGGUGGCGAAGGCGGCAUCCUGGACCAACACUGACACUGAUGAGCGAAAGCCAGGGGAGCAAACGGG
RNAcentral lists this ribosomal RNA (254 nucleotides) under uncultured bacterium. RNAcentral describes it as "partial 16S ribosomal RNA". It matches the Rfam family "Bacterial small subunit ribosomal RNA", at positions 524 to 776 of the family's 1533-position model. The record is from RNAcentral.